This 253-nucleotide ribosomal RNA is filed under the name uncultured bacterium. RNAcentral describes it as "partial 16S ribosomal RNA". It matches the Rfam family "Bacterial small subunit ribosomal RNA", at positions 524 to 776 of the family's 1533-position model. The record is from RNAcentral.
UACGUAGGGGGCUAGCGUUGUCCGGAAUCAUUGGGCGUAAAGAGCGUGUAGGCGGUCCGGUAAGUCCGUUGUGAAAGUCAAGGGCUCAACCCUUGAAUGCCGGCGGAUACUGUCGGGCUAGAGUCCGGAAGAGGCGAGUGGAAUUCCCGGUGUAGCGGUGAAAUGCGCAGAUAUCGGGAGGAACACCUAUGGCGAAGGCAGCUCGCUGGGACGGUACUGACGCUGAGGAGCGAAAGUGUGGGGAGCGAACAGG